Molecule: ribosomal RNA, 253 nt
Filed under: uncultured bacterium
Lineage: Bacteria
Description: partial 16S ribosomal RNA
Rfam family: Bacterial small subunit ribosomal RNA
Source: RNAcentral
UACGGAAGGGGCAAGCGUUGUUCGGAUUCACUGGGCGUAAAGGGUGCGUAGGCGGUUGGGUAAGUCUGUCGUGAAAUCUCCGAGCCCAACUCGGAAACUGCGUCGGAUACUAUUCAACUCGAGGAAUGGAGGGGAGACUGGAAUUCUCGGUGUAGCAGUGAAAUGCGUAGAUAUCGAGAGGAACACCAGUGGCGAAGGCGAGUCUCUGGACAUUUCCUGACGCUGAGGCACGAAAGCCAGGGGAGCAAACGGG